CAUAUAGUAAUAGUAUCAACCAUUUUUUCCACAAAUCGGCCAAAAAGGCGAAUGCACAGCUAAGUCGACCGUUUCAAGCUGAAUAGAAACAGAAAAGAAAAGAAAAGAAGAGGAAAAAAAUUAUAAGCCAACACAUCAAAGGAACGAGUGAGAAAGCAAGCAAUCUAACGUGGGAGAGCAAAACUGUGCAGCGUAUUUUACAUUUGUGGUCAGAGAGUGGAUUGGAAAUGAAAGAGGCGUACGUAUUGCGUGGAGAUUCAAAGAAACGGACAACGCACAACCAUUUGAAUCAAUAGUAAGAAACGAAUUAAAAAUUCAAAACAAUAUCACAUAUUGUUUAAAUAUGCUUGGUUAGGGGACAUAAUGGAAUUUGUAUGGUCUUUUUGCCAAAACCAGUCAACACAGUGUGCAAUGUGCAUUUAGUUUUCAUGGCUGCAACCAUUGGCAAAUGUUCGCCUGGCAAAAUAUCUUGCAAAAACAGACAACUGACAUCGCAUGGUAACUUUUUUUUUUUAAUUUCAAACCAAACUAUAAAAAUAUAUGGAAAAAAUGCGAAAAAAAUCCAAUGAACAGCUGUUACAUCGCAUAAACGACGUAAAAAAAAUAUG
This is a long non-coding RNA of Sitodiplosis mosellana (orange wheat blossom midge), 608 nucleotides long. RefSeq lists it as uncharacterized. The record is from RefSeq and is a predicted model, not a curated record. The transcript is spliced from 3 exons. Lineage: Eukaryota; Metazoa; Arthropoda; Insecta; Diptera; Cecidomyiidae.